GAUGAACGCUAGCUACAGGCUUAACACAUGCAAGUCGAGGGGCAGCAUGAAUAUUGGCUUGCCAAUAUUUGAUGGCGACCGGCGCACGGGUGAGUAACACGUAUCCAACCUUCCGGUUACUCGGGGAUAGGCUUUCGAAAGAAAGAUUAAUACCCGAUGUUGCGUAUCUUUCUCCUGGAAGAUACGCCAAAGGAUUCCGGUAACCGAUGGGGAUGCGUUCCAUUAGGCAGUUGGCGGGGUAACGGCCCACCAAACCUUCGAUGGAUAGGGGUUCUGAGAGGAAGGUCCCCCACAUUGGAACUGGGACACGGUCCUG
Molecule: ribosomal RNA, 316 nt
Filed under: uncultured bacterium
Lineage: Bacteria
Description: bacterial SSU rRNA
Rfam family: Bacterial small subunit ribosomal RNA
Source: RNAcentral